This 304-nucleotide ribosomal RNA is filed under the name uncultured bacterium. Its description in RNAcentral is "partial 16S ribosomal RNA". It matches the Rfam family "Bacterial small subunit ribosomal RNA", at positions 506 to 809 of the family's 1533-position model. The record is from RNAcentral.
CAGCAGCCGCCGCGGUAAGACAGAGGAUGCAAGCGUUAUCCGGAAUGAUUGGGCGUAAAGCGUCUGUAGGUGGCUUUUCAAGUCCGCCGUCAAAUCCCAGGGCUCAACCCUGGACAGGCGGUGGAAACUACCAAGCUGGAGUACGGUAGGGGCAGAGGGAAUUUCCAGUGGAGCGGUGAAAUGCGUUGAGAUCGAAAAGAACACCAACAGCGAAAGCACUCUGCUGGGACGACACUGACACUAAGAGACGAAAGCUAGGGGAGCAAAUGGGAUUAGAUACCCCAGUAGUCCCUGUCUCUUAUAA